ACACAAAGGCAGCUAUUCCAUACUCGACGCUCUUCCUAUCUGUUCACAAUAACAAGGUUCUUAUAAUCUUUCAACUAUGAGAUAUAAAUUUCCUUCAGGUUUCGUACCAAUGCCUCGCACGUGCGUGCGUGACGGUCUUUAACGGUGAUGCUUCAGCAUUGUG
Molecule: long non-coding RNA, 163 nt
Filed under: Neodiprion lecontei (redheaded pine sawfly)
Lineage: Eukaryota; Metazoa; Arthropoda; Insecta; Hymenoptera; Diprionidae
Description: uncharacterized LOC124293804
Source: RNAcentral